Bos taurus (domestic cattle) is the source of this 75-nucleotide non-coding RNA. NCBI's taxonomy places the organism in Eukaryota, Metazoa, Chordata, Mammalia, Artiodactyla, Bovidae. The record is from Rfam.
AUUAAGGUGAGAGAGACUGGUAACUGUGUAAAACUUAAACCUUUAUAACCAGAGAUUCAAAUCCUCUCCUUGACA